UUUGAUGGUGUUGCAUCUUCCAUUAAGACUCAAAUUCAACACCUACCAGCUGCAAAAGCUGAUGAUAUUGAAGAAGUCUUGGAUGUCAAAGGAAGUUAGAUCUAGACAAAGGAACCCAUAUAGAAGAUUUUUGGUAAAGUGGUUUGGUAAACCAGCAAAUGAAAGCAGGUGAAUUUCUGAAGAAGAGCUGAAACGAGUUGAUCCAACCAUAUAUGAGGAAUAUGUCAAGGUUUACUCAUUGAAGCCGACUUCUUCUCUAACCCGGGAAGAAUGAUGGAGGAGCAUCCAAAUUAAAUUAGGA
Molecule: unclassified non-coding RNA, 301 nt
Filed under: Hevea brasiliensis (rubber tree)
Lineage: Eukaryota; Viridiplantae; Streptophyta; Magnoliopsida; Malpighiales; Euphorbiaceae
Source: RNAcentral